This is a non-coding RNA of Ictidomys tridecemlineatus (thirteen-lined ground squirrel), 879 nucleotides long. NCBI's taxonomy places the organism in Eukaryota, Metazoa, Chordata, Mammalia, Rodentia, Sciuridae. The record is from RefSeq and is a predicted model, not a curated record.
UAUUCAUGGAUUCAUCUCUCAGCGGCUGAGUUAUAUUAAAUAGCUCCCUGAGAUGGCUGUCUAUAGCUCAGUUCUAAUUGGUCCUAUGACAGCUGCUGGUCCUAGGAGUUAGAAUGCUGGUGGUCAUACAGGGCCCUUGGAAUCUGAAAAGUCUCCAGACUCUUCUUAUCCAAAUACAAAGGCUUUUUUUUGCUGAAGAGAGAACAGCAAGAUUGAUGGAGCCAUCCUACAAGAACCUUGGCUAACCCUGAGUUCACCUGAAUUUUUAAAAGUCUGUGACCAAAGAGUCACUAAAAACAAAAGAAGCUCAUCAGGUUUUCCCAACAUGCUUUUUCUCACCACUUUAACCACAAAUUUAGUGUGAAUAUACUGUGUCUGCAACUAAGAAGUCAGAAGACUUAUCCAUAAAUGCCUGGGAGCUUUGUUGGGGAAAAGAAAAAGAGGCAGAAAAAUAUCCAAUCAGAAUGGUUUUUAAAUGGCUGAUGAACAAGGGAAGUGGGAGAUGAUACAUCUUCCUUAGAAGAGAGAAAACAAGGUAAUAACAUUAACUAGACAAACUGCUGCAGAAGAUCAAAUUCAGAAAAGGAAUUUCAACAUCACUACACCCCAAAAUGAAACAAGAGGGACUCCAAAUGAUCACAUCCAUGUCCAACCCACCAUAAUGGUCAUAGCAACAGCUGUAAAAUUGUUCUCAGAUGAGUACACACAUAUACGACUCUUCUCUGCACUCAACUCUAAAUCUGUCCCCAGCUUGGCUCUGCAGGGCAGCAAUGAGGUAUUUCAGGUUUCAUUAAAAGGGCAAAUCACAGGCCAUUUAAGAAGGCAAUGGAAUCAUAAGAGUCUCUCUGGACUCCUCACAAUAAAAGGUACACAACAGCA